Long non-coding RNA from Dendroctonus ponderosae (mountain pine beetle), 902 nucleotides. RefSeq lists it as uncharacterized. NCBI's taxonomy places the organism in Eukaryota, Metazoa, Arthropoda, Insecta, Coleoptera, Curculionidae. The transcript is spliced from 2 exons. The record is from RefSeq and is a predicted model, not a curated record.
UCCCCUUACAAAUAAUAAUGACUGGUCUUUCCGAUUUUUCAUAUUUUAAACUCCAAGAAAGAUAUCAAGGGCGAGAAGUUGACACCCGCUAUACCUUUUUGUUCACAAAUCGCAGUGAUUCGUAGAGACAGAGGUAAAAGACUAAAAAACGAAGAAGGCUCCAAUAACCAACCUGCAGUCAAACCUCACGUUUUUGUACUUAUAUUAUUAUGCUCACGUUUUAUUAUUUAAAUAUUUACACUGGUAAAAUAGCCUUAAUCAGCACUUUCAAGGCAACUUUGGUAUAUUUGGACUUUUAGAUGUAAGAAGACAACCGAGUUUUCCUACUUUGUCGACACCUGACUCUCGUGUCGGUAGCCAUGGUACCUCGUCGAAGGAAACUUAAAAUUGAGUGUUAAUCUUCCUAAAAAUAAAUGAUUAGAACGCGAAUGAAGAAAAUAAUCAAGUGUUGACAAAGUAGUAAACCUCUAUUUUUUCGUUCCAAUUUGUCGAAAAUUCAAAACCUAAAGACUAGACUUUUAGAUGCGGUUCAUCAAUACUUCAAAUACUUAAAUAAAUAAAGAAAGUUAAAUCUGGCGGAUGAUUUCAAAGUUGCAGAGGAGGCAAACAUGUUAAAAAUUGGUGCUAAUAGCUAGUUCUAAAGAUUACAACAAAAUUGCAGAAGCAGAUUUGCAAAACUAAACUUACUGGCUGAUAGAAAAAUGUGUUCCUGCUGAUGUCCAUGAACAUGAAUUUAUCUAUACAAUACAUUACUGCAGAGUGGUCCAAGUAUUCCUGAGCAAAUAUUUCUCAACGUCAGAAGGAAAUGCAUGCAUUAUUUCAGUGUUAGUUUAUUUGUAUCUAUUAUAAUUUGCUUUAGUUGCUACGCCAAUGCUGAACUGAUCUGAACUUGAAAAACUGUA